CCGUGUCCGAGUCAGCUGAGGGCCGGGACCCUGCGCGCGAAGCCCGGCGCCGAAGCCCAUCCCGUAGCGCCGGAGCUGCGCGCUGUGUGGGGCCUCGCGAGGCUGUGGCACGGCCCGCGUCCCUUACUGCUGCCUGGCCCGGCUCGGGUCUGCCCGGGCCCUGCGGGCUGCCGUGAGGUCACUGGGUGGUGGUGUCCGCAGGGCGACUGCAGAGGGAUGCGUAUGUGUCUGUAAGAGAUAAUCUCAUAAGGGAGUUAUCUUGGGGCCACAAAGAUGCAGCUCGCCUCGUGUGCUCUUCUAAACUGAGUUGUGCUGGGGCCGGUGUCACGGUAUGGUGGUGUCUUUGUAAUAGGUGAGAGACAACUGAACCGCCGUGAAAUUGUGAACUGCAGGAAUCUGUCACCUCAGAGAAUGCUCAAAAGCAGAUGUGUGGAAUUUCCUGGGAAGAGCAGAUAGCGCAUGAGAGAUCUUGGCUGAAUGCUGUGUGCUUUGACUCAUUGAAGCCCCAACAGCAAAUAAAUGAGGGGGCAGCGACGUGGGCAGCCCUGCGCCCUGACCUGAGCACUUUGCAUCUGCCUCAGGGUGUGGGCACCGGCCCUGCCCAGCAUUCUGGGUCAUCCUGGGCUCAGAGUGCCAUACCUCCGAGAGAGGUGAUGAACCUUCAUCUUUGAGUGGGAAAAUGGAUCCACGCUGCAGAAAUGAACACCAGAGCAGUCUGAGGAAAAGACCAGCUGAGAGUCCAGCGAGGCGCGAUUCCUUGUGCCUAAGUAACAUUAAAGAUGGCGUCGUAUUGCUUUUCCUCAAUGUCUUUUAUCUCUGCGGAUCGUUGCAUGUGAACUAUUGCACAGCGUCAGCCACCUGUUGGAUGUGGCCUCCUCUCCUCGGAACCAGCGCGUCUCCAGCUGACGGGUGUGCAAGCUGCUUCAUCAGACUGGGCUUGCAUGGCUAUUAUGGGGUGAAGUAAGCUCUGCUGAGAUGUAAUGAUGUAUUGUCAUUAAACUUAGUGACUUUAUUAAUUGCAACAAACUGUACUUCAGGUGAUCUGCUUUGAAAUGUAACCCAAGCUGGGCUGCCCUGUCCUGCACUGAGCUCCUGCCUGGAGCAGCUCGGACCUGCGGGCACCCGGGCUGUGCUGUGCUCCUGGCCAGGAGAGAGUUGGCACCGUCCUCGCAUUAAACUCCUUCAAAAAUAUCAGAAUACUUUCAGUUGUAGAUGCAGAUGUAACCUGAGACCUGAUGUUAGCUCCCGAGGUCAGAGACUUCAUGUUACCAGGAUUUCAAGGUUAGCUUCUCUCCUGCUGUGGAAUUGUUUGAGGAGAGCAGCUCUUCUGAGAGGAGGACAUUGGCCAUAGCUAAGGUUUCCCUGUUGGCUGGGAGGGUAACUCUGAGGGCGUGAAAGGAUUUGAGUGGGAGAGAUUUUUCCUGUUUCCUUUUUCUGUUCUUAAAACAGAGGAAGAGAGACCAGCCAGGGAUUUAAUGUGAGAUCCCUGGCUCUGCUCUCAGCCAGCCGUUGCUUUUCUCCUCAGCAGAUUGGUGCCGAGGCAUGAGGCACUGCAGGCAGCCUCAGUCUUCCCGGGGCUCCCUGCUGGGGGUCUCCUCCUGGGUGUCAGGCCCUGGCCGGUGGUUCCAUGAGCUCUGCACUCCUGGCUCUGUUCUGGCUUUGGGAAUGUGAUCGUUGUGUGGUGCCCCUCCAGAGGGGCCAUGUGUGCACGGGUUGCCCCAGCACUCACUGCUUGCACAGGGCUCAGGCUCUGUAAUCCCCGCAUCGGUUGCUGGGAUUUACAGAAACAGCAGAGAGGAGUGGCUGGAGGAGGCCAUCAGUGUGUUUUUGUGGCCGGUUUGAUACGGCGGAGCAGUGUGAGAAGACAGAAAAUGCGUCUGGGAAAACUUGGCCGCAGCUGCCCAGGCCCUUUGUGCCGCCUGCUCAGUAUGGGCGGCCGGGCCCAGCCGAGACGCCCCGCAGCC
Molecule: long non-coding RNA, 1964 nt
Organism: Chrysolophus pictus (golden pheasant)
Lineage: Eukaryota; Metazoa; Chordata; Aves; Galliformes; Phasianidae
Source: Ensembl